AUUGAACGCUGGCGGCAUGCCUUACACAUGCAAGUCGAACGGCAGCACGGGAGCUUGCUCCUGGUGGCGAGUGGCGAACGGGUGAGUAAUACAUCGGAACGUACCCAGUAGUGGGGGAUAACGCACCGAAAGGUGCGCUAAUACCGCAUACGACCUACGGGUGAAAGCGGGGGACCGUAAGGCCUCGCGCUAUUGGAGCGGCCGAUGUCUGAUUAGCUAGUUGGCGGGGUAAUAGCCCACCAAGGCGACGAUCAGUAGCUGGUCUGAGAGGAGGAUCCGCCACAAUGGGACUGAGACACGGCCCAGACUCCUACGGGAGGCAGCAGUGGGGAAUUUUGGACAAUGGGGGCAACCCUGAUCCAGCAAUGCCGCGUGUGCGAAGAAGGCCUUCGGGUUGUAAAGCACUUUUGUCAGGGAAGAAAUCUUUCAGGCUAAUACCCUUGGAAGGAUGACGGUACCUGAAGAAUAAGCACCGGCUAACUACGUGCCAGCCGCCGCAGUAA
Molecule: ribosomal RNA, 503 nt
Filed under: uncultured bacterium
Lineage: Bacteria
Description: partial 16S ribosomal RNA
Rfam family: Bacterial small subunit ribosomal RNA
Source: RNAcentral